Molecule: RNA transcript, 1723 nt
Organism: Glycine soja
Lineage: Eukaryota; Viridiplantae; Streptophyta; Magnoliopsida; Fabales; Fabaceae
Gene name: NAC domain-containing protein 82-like
Exons: 4
Source: RefSeq, a predicted model, not a curated record
CCUUGAUCUCUACACUACACUUUCCUUUCAUUUUUCAAUAACAAGAGAGAGAGAGAGAGGCGUAGUUCACUUCACUUCACCACUCUCGCAACUUCAAUUCUUCAUUCUUCUUCUCUCUCUUUGACAAGUGUCAACAAUUCUCCUGUCUCGUUCCGUCUCCCGAAUCCGUACGAUUUUCUUUGAGGGUUUGAUCGCGCCGAUGUCUGUUUACCACGAAAUCGGAGGCUCUUCAUCCAUCAUCGGCUUCCGACCCUGCUUCACCAACCGCGCCAGGCUUCGCUGUCCCGCUAAGAUACGCUUUCGCUUUUGAGGUUUUUUUUUUUCUUUUCCUCUCACACAUGAAAUAGUAAUAAUCGCACGAGGUUUCCUUUCCACUCAAAUUAACAAAAAAAAACUGCUAGAUUCUGAAGCAAGCGUUGUGUUGUGUUUUAUUUUCGAUUCCAUGGCCAAAGCUGUUGGAGUUCGGUUCCACCCUACUGGUGUUGAAUUAGUUGUGUACUUUCUGAAGAGGAAAGUGAUGGCAAAAAAAAUCUGUGAUGGUUUCAUUGCUGAACUUGACAUAUACAAGUAUGCUCCUUGGGGUCUCCCAGAUAAGUCUUGUCUGAGAACUGGAGAAUUGGAAUGGUACUUUUUCUGCCCGCUAGAGAAGAAAUAUGGCAGUGGGAGCAAGAUGAAGCUUGCUACCAAAAUUAGGUAUUGGAAAGCUACUGGGAAGGAUAGAGUUGUUCAGCACAAUAAUCGAACUGUGGGGAUGAUAAAGACACUGAUAUUUCACACGGGUAAAUCGCCUUGUGGGGAAAGAACUGAUUGGGUUAUGCAUGAUCAUUCAUAGGCUUGAAGAUAAGGACCUCGCUGACAAAGGGAUUGCUCAGGAUUCCUAUGUAGUCUGCAAGGUCUUCCAAAAGGAAGGUCUUGGUCCCAGGAAGGGGGCACACUGUGCGAGACCAUUUAAUGAGGAAGAGUGGGAUGAUGAGGAAAUUGGAAUACCUUGUGCUGCUUUGACUGCACCAGUUCCCAUCUUGCCUAUGACAUCUGAUGGUUCUGUUCCAAAUGACAAUCUCCCUGCUAGUGGAUGUACUGGGUCAGCAUCCAUAUCAUGUCUAUCAGGAUCACUGCCUUCUCCUGGAGGUCUAUAAUCCUGGUCAGGAAAACAUUGUUGAAGGUGCAUCACCUUCAGAUGAUUUUUUUGAGGGCUUGGAAGACUACUUGGCUGGUUUCUCCUCUGGCCAGAAUACUGAAUUCAACACAAACGGAAUGCGGCUACUACAGGUGAUGUUGGUAACUCUGAUGAAUUUUUUGAGGGCUUGAAAGACUACUGGGCUGCUCUGGCUGGUUUCUCCGCUGGCCAGAAUACAGGUGAUAUUGGGAACUCUGAUAACUUGGACUUCAUAGAGUUGAAUGACCUAGAUACCCCAUUGUUCUAUCCGAUCACACAACCUUGAAGUUAAUAAGAGUCGCAAUAAAGGGGCUGUUUUGGUGAUGACUUACGACUGACCUUUGGCAACUAGCUAGAGGGCUAUUUAAAUUAUGGGUUUAUCUUAUUCUGUGCUUUGAACUUUGGCACUCAAGUUCCGCGAGUGAUUGUGUGUAUGUGUUUUUAUUUUUUUUUUCAUUUUAGAACUUCCUUCUCUUGACGAGAAAAUUGUGUAUUUCAACAUAUUCAUUUGGGGAAUAUCUUAAACAUUAUAUCAAGAGAUUCACUAAAAUACCCAACGUCUUGCUA